Molecule: long non-coding RNA, 1480 nt
Organism: Alexandromys fortis (reed vole)
Lineage: Eukaryota; Metazoa; Chordata; Mammalia; Rodentia; Cricetidae
Exons: 3
Source: RefSeq, a predicted model, not a curated record
GUACCCGGCUGUCCCCCCCGUGGGGAGGGGCCCGACGACUCCUCUCCCGCCGCCGCGGCCCCUCCAGUGGCGGCCUCUUGGUCUUCGGUCCCCUGGGGGCUCCCUUGCCAACUUGGAGGGUCGCUCCGAGGACUUCUUCGCUCUCUGUGCGUGCGUGGAGAGUGGACGGAGUGUCAAUAACAGACGCAACCGAGAUUUUGGCUGAGGACCCAACCCGCGCUUCUCUGCUUCUCGGCAGAGGGCUAGCACUUAUAUUUCUUGUUGUCUUACUGCUGGUGAUAAGCCAAUCAGAGGGAUCCCACUUAAAGGAGUUGGACACUUAGACCGGCCUCUGUUAGUGUCUGUGUGUCUUAGCGCCUCAGGUGUUAGAAGAGCUUCUUACCCCUGGAAGUGGAGUUGGAGCUGUGCUGAAGCCCCAUGUGGAAGCUGAGGGUCAAGUCUGUGUCCUCGAAGAGCAGCUCCUGCUGUAGCUGCCAAGCCCUCUGUAGGCCACACUCUCUACCUUUUUUAUUUACUUUUUCUACCUUAUCUUUUUGAGGCAGGGUCUCUCACUGAACCUUUAACUUAUGGCUUGGCUAGACUGGCUGGCCAGUGAGCCCUAGCAAGCCUUCUAUCUUUGUAGAAGCUCCUGGGAUUACGGGCCUGUGUCUGUUUAUGUGGGUCCUAGGGGUUGAACUUCUCAGUUCUGGGAUUAUGGGCCUGUGUCUGUUUAUGGGUGCUGGGAACUGAAACCUAGGCUUUCUUAGCCAUUGAGUCCUCUCUCUAGCCCAAUUAAGUGUGCAUUUCAGGAGAGCCAGUGCGCACCACAUUUGCCUGGCAUAUUUCUUCAUAUGGGCAGAGAGGUACGGAAAGGGCUGUUGAGUAAUCCCCCUGGCCUGACGGCAUGGUUUAUAGACCUGUGGGACUGCACUAGCGUUUUCCUCUAAGAAACUUCCUUAGUUGGACUCGUGGUAUCGUCUCUGGUUUCUGGUGGUGAAGAACCCUCUUUGCCUGCGAGGUGCUGUAAGGUGCUGAAGUUCAUCUCCCUGGCCUGGUAAUCUCGCCAGUAGGCACCAGCCCUGAGAGCUGGCCAGUUACCUAACUUUCCAUCCUCUGCCUGCCUUGGUAAAGUAGAAAAAAGGCCAGCGGCUAUCUCAGGGUUGCUCUGAGGAUGAAGGGGUCAUUUAUGUCCCUGACACAAGUGUUGCACAUUGCUAUCCCCUCGAUCCUUCUGGACCUGCACUCGUAGAUGGUGGAGUGCUUUCUGUAAGCCUCAUCACAGCCUUCGCUGUGUGGUUUUGUGUGUUGACCCCUGCUUUAGUGAAGCUGUUUUUUCUUCGUUUUGAAGUAAUUUCUCUUGAAAAUUGAAAAGAUGCCAUGAUUGCUCAUGAUAAGUGCCAGUGUUGGUGCCAGCAGAUUCUACUUGCUCUUUCAUGAUGGCAAAGUCUAGUUUUUUGUAGUCUGUAUGUAAAAGUAUAUUACAUAUACUUUUAUUAUAUAU